UACGUAGGAUGCGAGCGUUGUCCGGAUUUAUUGGGCGUAAAGAGCGUGUAGGCGGCCAGGUAGGUCUGCUGUGAAAACUCGAGGCUCAACCUCGAGACGUCGGCGGAAACCAUCUGGCUAGAGUCCGGAAGAGGAGAGUGGAAUUCCUGGUGUAGCGGUGAAAUGCGCAGAUAUCAGGAAGAACACCCGUGGCGAAGGCGGCUCUCUGGGACGGUACUGACGCUGAGACGCGAAAGCGUGGGGAGCGAACAGG
RNAcentral lists this ribosomal RNA (253 nucleotides) under uncultured bacterium. Its description in RNAcentral is "partial 16S ribosomal RNA". It matches the Rfam family "Bacterial small subunit ribosomal RNA", at positions 524 to 776 of the family's 1533-position model. The record is from RNAcentral.